GUUCUAUGUUGCCACUUCAUUAUCUACAACUCGGCACUUCUCCAUAUUACUAUCAUGUCUUAAAGUAUGGAUUCCCGAAAACUGAGGCCUCUACUGCUUUGGGCAAAGCCUGAAGAAGCUUCGUUUCCUUCACGGAGAAGCACCGCGAUUCAUCCCAGCCUAGACGGUACCUGGAAGGAAGGCCUUCUUCCAUUUGGUGGCUCUGGUGGUCAUGAAGGUGCUGCAGGAGGAAGAAAGCCUGGGAGACAUGGGAGGCAGGGUCAAGAACACCAUUUGAUUAUUAUUUGAGCUGACCUCGGGCCCAGCCUUCCUGAAUAUUCUCUUUUCUGAAGAGGCCUGCAAGAAGACAGGCCUGACUAUAAACCCAAAUGAGCCCCUGCAGCCUGAAGACCCUCCGGCAAAGAAAAGCAGAGGUGAUUUGAGGCCUGGUGGGGAAGAGAAAGAAACUGCUGAGAGACUAAAUGCCGAGGUCCAUCCGCAUUCUUGGAAGCCAGAGGAAGCAGGCUGGAGACACCCAGGAGGCCCAGAGAGGAGUCUGGACCCCACAGUGAACCAGCUGAGGGCUUCACGGAACCUUUCAUCAGACCCCCAGGGACUCCAGCUCGAAACAAACACAUAAUCAAAACGUUUCCCUCCCUUCCAAAUAUCCAAAGCCCUUAGGCUCCUCAGCUCCCCAGACCUGGAAGGAAGCCGGGCGCUUACUGCCAAGGUACUGUCUCCAGUCACCCCCACCCCCACCUGCACCCGGAACUUUGUACCCCAAGGGAGUGCAGCCUUUAAAAAAAAAAAGAAAGUUCCUGUUUUAACCAAAAAUGAAGCAGUUGCUCUUUCUCCUUCCUCCCCUGGGACAAGAAGCCCUUGAGUCCCCUCCAGAGUCCAGAUGCAAAGAGAGCGCUACUCCACCCCCAGUUUCCAACUCCCAGCAAGGCGAAUGGCCCCGACCGGCUCAACAGGUCCCUGGAAAGGACUUGCCCUCCCCAGGCAUCCACAGCUGAGGCCGGAGGAAGGAAGGGGAGGGGUGGGCAGGGGGGCUGGCCUGCUUUCCCCCUCCCACAACACUGGGG
This 1064-nucleotide long non-coding RNA is filed under the name Sus scrofa (pig). RNAcentral describes it as "lncRNA (ENSSSCG00005008532.1)". The record is from RNAcentral. Lineage: Eukaryota; Metazoa; Chordata; Mammalia; Artiodactyla; Suidae.